GACCGGUACUGCGCAACGGAGGACUGUGAACCAUGUCAGGCGGGGAACCGAGCAGCAUUAAGCAGAAACCAUCGUGUGCCGCAGAGCUGCCGAUUUUG
Molecule: signal recognition particle RNA, 98 nt
Filed under: Candidatus Agathobaculum pullistercoris
Lineage: Bacteria; Bacillati; Bacillota; Clostridia; Eubacteriales; Butyricicoccaceae
Description: signal recognition particle sRNA small type
Rfam family: Bacterial small signal recognition particle RNA
About the family: The signal recognition particle (SRP) is a universally conserved ribonucleoprotein involved in the co-translational targeting of proteins to membranes. Archaeal SRP consists of a 7S RNA and homologues of the eukaryotic SRP19 and SRP54 proteins. In most bacteria, the SRP consists of a 4.5S RNA and the Ffh protein (a homologue of the eukaryotic SRP54 protein).
Source: RNAcentral